This 495-nucleotide ribosomal RNA is filed under the name uncultured bacterium. RNAcentral describes it as "partial 16S ribosomal RNA". It matches the Rfam family "Bacterial small subunit ribosomal RNA", at positions 28 to 507 of the family's 1533-position model. The record is from RNAcentral.
GAUGAACGCUGGCGGCGUGCCUAAUACAUGCAAGUAGAACGCUGAAGGAGGAGCUUGCUCUUCUGGAUGAGUUGCGAACGGGUGAGUAACGCGUAGGUAACCUGCCUGGUAGCGGGGGAUAACUAUUGGAAACGAUAGCUAAUACCGCAUGACAACAGCUAUUGCUUGAUAACUGUUUAAAAGGGGCAACUGCUCCACUACCAGAUGGACCUGCGUUGUAUUAGCUAGUUGGUGAGGUAACGGCUCACCAAGGCGACGAUACAUCGCCGACCUGAGAGGGUGAUCGGCCACACUGAGACUGAGACACGGCCCAGACUCCUACGGGAGGCAGCAGUAGGGAAUCUUCGGCAAUGGACGGAAGUCUGACCGAGCAACGCCGCGUGAGUGAAGAAGGUUUUCGGAUCGUAAAGCUCUGUUGUAAGAGAAGAACGAGUGUGAGAGUGGAAAGUGCACACUGUGACGGUAUCUUACCAGAAAGGGACGGCUAACUACGUG